UACCGCAUGACAUUCUGCUUUUGGAGAAGCGGAAAUCAAAGCUGGGGAUUCGCAAGAACCGAGCGCUUGAAGAGGGGCCCGCGCCUGAUUAGCUAGUUGGUGAGGUAACGGCUCACCAAGGCUUCGAUCAGUAUCCGGCCUGAGAGGGCGGACGGACACACUGGGACUGAGACACGGCCCAGACUCCUACGGGAGGCAGCAGUGGGGAAUUGUUCGCAAUGGGCGCAAGCCUGACGACGCAACGCCGCGUGGAGGAUGAAGAUUUUCGGAUCGUAAACUCCUGUCGAGUGGGAAGAAUAGCUUUGGGGUGAAUAGCGCUGAAGUCUGACGGUACCACUAAAGGAAGCCCCGGCUAACUCCGUGCCAGCAGCCGCGGUAAUACGGGGGGGGCAAGCGUUGUUCGGAAUUACUGGGCGUAAAGGGCUCGUAGGCGGCCAACUAAGUCAGACGUGAAAUCCCCAGGCUCAACCUGGGAACUGCGUCUGAUACUGGAUGGCUUGAAUUCGGGAGAGGGAUGCAGAAUUCCAGGUGUAGCGGUGAAAUGCGUAGAUAUCUGGAGGAAUACCGGUGGCGAAGGCGGCAUCCUGGACCGACAUUGACGCUGAGGAGCGAAAGCUAGGGGAGCAAACGGGAUUAGAUACCCCGGUAGUCCUAGCCCUAAACGAUGAAUGCUUGGUGUAACGGGUAUCGAUCCCUGUUGUGCCGAAGCUAACGCAUUAAGCAUCCGCC
This 729-nucleotide ribosomal RNA is filed under the name uncultured bacterium. RNAcentral's name for it is "bacterial SSU rRNA". It matches the Rfam family "Bacterial small subunit ribosomal RNA", at positions 167 to 873 of the family's 1533-position model. The record is from RNAcentral.